CCUACGGGAGGCAGCAGUGAGGAAUUUUGGGCAAUGGGCGAAAGCCUGACCCAGCGACACCGCGUGGGGGAUUGAAGGCCUUCGGGUCGUAAACCCCUGUCAGGGGGAACGAAGCCCCGAUGUUUUCCACCGGGGUGACGGUACCUCCAGAGGAAGCCUCGGCUAACUACGUGCCAGCAGCCGCGGUAAGACGUAGGAGGCAAGCGUUGUCCGGAAUUAUUGGGCGUAAAGCGCCCGUAGGCGGGGGUGAAAGCCGGGGGUAAACUCCCCCGACCCAACCGGGGACCCGCGCCCGAUACUCCACCCCUGGAGGGAAGCAGAGGAAGGAGGAAUCCCGGGUGUAGCGGUAAAAUGCGUAGAUACCGGGAGGAACACCGUGGGCGAAGGCGGCCUUCUGGGCUUCUCCUAACGCUGAGGGGCGAAAGCCGGGGGAGCGAACCGGAUUAGAUACCCUGGUAGU
RNAcentral lists this ribosomal RNA (460 nucleotides) under uncultured bacterium. RNAcentral's name for it is "partial 16S ribosomal RNA". It matches the Rfam family "Bacterial small subunit ribosomal RNA", at positions 338 to 794 of the family's 1533-position model. The record is from RNAcentral.